GACGAACGCUGGCGGCGUGCCUAAUACAUGCAAGUAGAACGCUGAAGGAGGAGCUUGCUUCUCUGGAUGAGUUGCGAACGGGUGAGUAACGCGUAGGUAACCUGCCUGGUAGCGGGGGAUAACUAUUGGAAACGAUAGCUAAUACCGCAUAAGAGUAGAUGUUGCAUGACAUUUACUUAAAAGGUGCAAUUGCAUCACUACCAGAUGGACCUGCGUUGUAUUAGCUAGUUGGUGAGGUAACGGCUCACCAAGGCAACGAUACAUAGCCGACCUGAGAGGGUGAUCGGCCAAACUGGGACUGAGACACGGCCCAGACUCCUACGGGAGGCAGCAGUAGGGAAUCUUCGGCAAUGGACGGAAGUCUGACCGAGCAACGCCGCGUGAGCGAAGAAGGUUUUCGGAUCGUAAGGCUCUGUUGUAAGAGAAGAACGAGUGUGAGAGUGGAAAGUUCACACUGUGACGGUAUCUUACCAGAAAGGGACGGCUAACUACGUG
RNAcentral lists this ribosomal RNA (495 nucleotides) under uncultured bacterium. RNAcentral's name for it is "partial 16S ribosomal RNA". It matches the Rfam family "Bacterial small subunit ribosomal RNA", at positions 28 to 507 of the family's 1533-position model. The record is from RNAcentral.